AGUAGGCAAGUGGUACAAUUUUCAACACAGAAACAGAUAAACAUAAUUUAAGAAUAGGAAUGUGCAGCUGUAAAAUGUACAAAUUGUUCAUAUAUAUAUAUUCAUAUUCGUUUCCGAUGUUUUGGAUUUAAGAAAACCAGUUUGCGAGUGCGUUAUGAACUAAUAAUGGUGGACAUAAAACAAAGGAACAAAAUUCUGUGUGGGGAAAAUGUUGUAUCUCUAUUAAAAACAGGCGUUUGUACCUGUAGAGAAACUUCAUUUUAGAAAUUGAACAGUAUUUAAAAGGGGACAUUACAUAGUGGUUUAGAAGCUCGAACAUACACGCAAGGGUUUUAUUAAGCAGUUUUGAAUAACUUUCGCGAACAUUACAUUUCGAAUUGAACACAGUACUAGUAUAAUAUAUUAAUAUAUGACAGGGAGAAAACAUGAAUGAGCUUGUCACGGAUCAAGGUUUGAGAAACUGGAUUAAGGCGUGUUUAGGCUUUAAGUAUGUCAGGGAUGGCAUGCUUCCUUAUAUGCAAAGGAAGUGCGAAGACGUGUACGCAAACAAUGAAACAUACACCAAAAUGAUUACUAAAUUAACAACAUAUUCAUGCAGUGUUUGUUGUGUAAAACAUGUUAAACCAAAUCAUUCUAUAAAUAACUGUUCCGCAAAAGGACAGUUGGGUGGAAAAACAAAAUGCGCAUGUACUUCUAAGAAAAAACAACUAUGCCCAAAUGGAGGUGCGUGUGGGGUUAUGUACGACAGAAUUAUGGACGACCAUGUCAAUAUGACCCCUCGGUGGGACAACUCAGAUUGUCAAAAAUGGUACCUGAACGGAUGGGAACAGAUGAAGUGUUUCAUAGAAAUACCCGGAUAUAAAAAAGGCACAUAUAUCACAGGCAAAUGUAACUGUUUUGUGCACAUAUGUCAGAACAAUAAAACCUUAAAUACGAUAUUUAAAUCGGAUUUAGGUAAACUAAUGCAGGUCCGGGCUGAUCGCAACGAGAUUUUCCAUUCCGGUGAUUUGGUUGUAACAGAUGACAAGUUGAAAGAAUAUCUUGCAAACAUGCAAGCUGUGCUCAAGAUAGCUGUGUUUAACGCGUUUACAUCCGAAUCCAGGAACAGUUGGAUAAACUGGCAAAAAAAUUGAAGCACGGAAGGAUGCAUUGAAUGCUUUGAUUGAAGACACAAACACAUUAGAAAAGCGAUAUGCGAACACACCCGAUAACAAAACAGAAUUAAGUAGGCAACAAGCCCAGUUUGCAGUUUUACAGGACACCCAUAUGAGAAGCAUUGCCGACCUUUUGAAAAGAAUGAAAAAGGAAUUCAAUCUUUGCGCGAAGGUUCUACUCGAACAAUCAAUCGAAAUAAAACACAUUUCUACGGGAGUUCAUGCAAACACAAAGGCAUUUGAAGCUUUACAAA
Molecule: long non-coding RNA, 1408 nt
Organism: Dreissena polymorpha
Lineage: Eukaryota; Metazoa; Mollusca; Bivalvia; Myida; Dreissenidae
Exons: 3
Source: RefSeq, a predicted model, not a curated record